Passer domesticus (house sparrow) is the source of this 3885-nucleotide long non-coding RNA. RefSeq lists it as uncharacterized. The transcript has 5 exons. NCBI's taxonomy places the organism in Eukaryota, Metazoa, Chordata, Aves, Passeriformes, Passeridae. The record is from RefSeq and is a predicted model, not a curated record.
UGCAGACACUGUUUUCGUGUCCUAAAAGCAUUAGCAAUAUGGAAAAUUUUUUAAGCCCUUGAUUGCAAACUUUAGAUUACUCAACUAAAUAUGGAAAAGGUGCAGAUACCUUUCCUGACACACAUUUAGGAGCAAUAAGACCUGAGAAUCUUUGAACAAGGACUGAAAGGGGACUUUUUUUUCCUCAAAAAAUAUCAUAAUAGCAGAAACUUUAUAGAAUGGCAUCAAAAAGGCGUCUGUGUGAGGCCCUGCUGUGGAUGGAUGGCAAGAUAAGAACAUAAACUGGGAUUAACAUUCAAGCAAAGAAUGAAAGGGGCUCUUCAGGCAGCAGUUGCCAUCACUGGCUAGGUGAGGAGAGCUUCAACUCUUGGUGCCAUCUCUUAUUUGGCCCUGAGGGUAACGAGCUGAAUGCAACAUGGAUGACUCACAUGGAGCACCGUUCAAGUUGAAGAACUCUGAGAAAAAAAAAGCCUUGAAAUGAGAAACCUGAAAAUCAGGGUGUUUCCCUCUGCUCCAGUGAAAUGCUUUAUGCACCAGCCACUGGAAAACUCCCCUGCAGGUUCGAUUGGUCCCGCUAAUGCCUGUGCAUUUGCACAGUGCAGUGCUGGCACACAGUUGCUAGGACGCCUCGGCAGAGAGUCGGGAGCAGCCAGGGAUGCAUUCACAGGACAGCUGACUGCGUUGCUAUGCCUGCCAACUAGUGGACAGACCAACAGCGAGCCCCUUAUUUAGCAGAGUCCAUGUUAAGGGUACAUUUUCUCUAUCUUCUUUCUGCACAUGCCUCAGGUUGGUACAAUGCUGGUUAAAAUUGUCUUUUCUUUGUAUUUUCUGUCUUGAAGUUUGCUGCCCAUUCCUUGCUGCAACUCUUCUAUUGACUUUGAUGGCAGCUGCAAGUACUUAAUUAUUAAAAAACCUGGCCAUUUAUUUAAGUGCCUGAAGGCAGACUUAAGAGUGUAACUUGGAAUAGUGAUAUAUAUUCCAAUAUUUUAAUUUUAAAUUUAUGUAGCAAAAAAUGGGCAUGUCGUGCGAGCUUAGAAAUAAACACCAGGCACGCCGAUCUCCAUAGCAAUCAUAAACAAUUACUCUAAAGCAGAUCAGAUGUCAUAACAGGAGUCAGGAUGACUGUGUCUACAGAUGUCCUACAGUAAUUCUGUUCAUGCCAUCCAUUCUUCCCAAAAUACUUAUUUGGAAGCAUUAAGGCAGGAACACAGAGGUCAGAAAUGAGGCUUACAGUCAGAAACGAGACUGGUUCCAGAAGAGCUGGUUUAUCAGCAGGCCAGUGAUGCUGGGGUCGUUGACAUUCGUGCUGUGGACAGUGAGCAGAAUCACCCUCAGGACUCGCGGGCUUUGCCAAACCUGCCAUGACCUGCAAACAUGACUGCAAUGACCACAAAGGAGAGUAAGGAGGCCUUCAAACAUUGUGAGUUUCUCUACUGGAACACAAGGCUUCCUUCUUUUUGAGGCUGCCACAGCUUUUAACACAAGUGAAAGAAAAAACCCACAAAGCUGAGGUUUUGUUGUGGCAAACGUUAACAAAAGAGCAGGGAUGCUCAAGAAGGCAAGAGAUGUCUACUGAAUGACCCACAUGGAAGCCAUCACCAAGACCAGUCACUUGUAGAGUGCAAAUAAUGGCACUGAGAACAAUUUGGAGAGAGCAAUUCUACUGCUUCAACCAGAACACACAGCCCUGAUUGUGUCGUGAAGGGCAGCUUAAAAACACGAAUCUCACAAACUCCUUCCAUGGAGCAGAGGCUGCACCCAUCCAACUUCCUGCAGGUCUGACAGUUCAGAGCACUGGAGAGCACAAGGUUCUUUUGGCCUUUCUUCUCCACAGAUAAGAGUCCCUGCUGGCUGCUGGCACAUAGCACACACCUGCAGUGUUCCAGGGAAAGGUUAAAAAAAUGUAGGAAGUACAGAGCAAAUCCACUGCAGCCAACAGCGACGAAAUUCUGAUAUAUCACCACACCUGGCUGGAAUAGUUGAAGGAUGUGGAAAAGGUGUUUAGGACAGUUUUAUGAGCAUGUCUGACUGUGUGAAAACUGAGAAAGUGGCCAGAUCACAACAGAUGAGGUGACUUACUUGGAAUGUAGGAUGAGAAGGGGCUAGAUCAGACAGCAACUGGCUACACUGGAAGCUGACCUACCUAACAAACACCAGAUGAUGACUUCUUGAGGAUAUUAUUGCAUCUCCUGGUAAUCAUCUACCAUCUAAUUUCCCAAAACAGAGACUAAAAUAUCAGUGCUGGGGUUUUGUUAUUCCUGUUUGGGAGGAUGCAUACGAUGAUCACAGAUACGAUGCCUUGCUGGGGAUAUUCCAUUACCUAUGGUGUGAGUACCAAGUCUCUGGUAAUUUUCAUUUCAGGUUGACAGGCAAAGUUGUUUGAAAAAUGAUCCAAUCUCCCACAAGUAAAAAAAAAAAAAACAAAAAAGAUUCUUGGAAUAAGCAUUAGAAUUAGGUGUCUAUGGCAGAUGCCUUGUUCUUAAUUUUGUCACUGCAAAAAAAUUACUUCAGUUAAUGCAGGGCUAUUAUUUUUCUUUAUAUCACAUCUAGCAAUUUUUGCUUUCUCUCCUCUGGACAAAAUAUUAUUGUCACUUAAACACAUCAGGUAAUGUUAUUGCACUUUGGUUGCACAAUAACUGGAGUUCAUAAACUAAUACCUAUUUUCCUGGAUCCAUUCUAGGCAGCACUCCAUCCAAACAUAUGAUGAAUGCCCCUAGCCAAGGAAAGUGUCACAAAUCUCUUCCUGUGAUCAUACAUUCAUUUUUCUUGGACAGCUGACCCCAGAAGCCCUUAUUUGAAGUCAACAGGAAUUUUCCUUGGAAAAAAAGAAAACAAAAUUUGCCCAAAGCAAUUUUGUUUUAGAACACAGAAAGUUUUCAAAAAUCCAGCAAGCAGUCCAAUAUUUAUUCAAGCAAAACAUUUACUAACAUCACAAGAGAACAUAAAAGCCAUGCAAAGAACAGCAAUAAAAAUAAGAAAACUGAUUUAUCACAAAGGCAGUUAUCUGCCACAUGAAUUAAAGCAAGCUAAGCUUGCUGUUCCCGAUAACAGAGACAACACAGUGCCUUCUCAUUAAAUAUUCUUUUAGUGAAUCUGCUAGUGGGUGCAGGUGAGGAUGGAUUUCUCCAGGAAUUUCAAAUAUUUGCACAAGCUUGAGAGAUAAACAGAAGAAUUUGGGGAAGAGUGUGACUUUAAGAAUCUGUAUAGCUGGGGGGUUUCGCUGCUGAUCUGCAUUUAGAGCAAAAUAAAAUUUUUUCCAUAGCAGAAAGAAACAGUGUCUUCAAACAACUUGCUUGGAGAAGUAAAAAGCACUCUGGAAUGGUCUCAUCCUGAUGGACAGAGGACCCUUUACCCACACUCAGAUGGAGAGAGACCCCCAAAACACACACCCCAUGUUUCUUUUCCUCUUGGAAUUUUGGAUAGAAUUUCAUUUUGAUAAACUGAGAUUUAUGCCGAUGUAAAUUACACAUGCAAAUCUUCCAUAUGUCAAGAUGGGAAAAUUUACCACUUAUAUUUUGUACUUUAUAUUUCUUACUCCUGACUAAAGUAAUUUUAUCAACAUAAUACAGGCAGUGGGGCAACACUUCAUAAGCCAGAUGUUUAUUGACCUAUGUGACCCUCCAAGUGUUUUCCUCCUGAUUAUUUGUGGUAUGAACAUAACAGACAACAUCUGAAGUAAUGUGGGAAAAUGGGCCUAUAAAACCAGUCACUUUUGAUUUCUGUUUCAGCUAAUUUUGAUUUCAUUUGAUUUUGUUUCCUCCAGGUAAGAAUUUAAGGUGAUAAAAACCAAGAACACAAUUGAGCUGGCUCUCAGACAGUUUCUAAUUUCCCCUGUCAAAUCUUGUAAGGCGGCUCUGUAAAUAGGAUUACAUGAGAAAAAGGUCA